This 290-nucleotide unclassified non-coding RNA is filed under the name Hevea brasiliensis (rubber tree). The record is from RNAcentral. Lineage: Eukaryota; Viridiplantae; Streptophyta; Magnoliopsida; Malpighiales; Euphorbiaceae.
GAAAAAGGACAAAUUUUAACUGGGAAGCUAACCUCACCCACGCUGCACAGUGACACGAUUUGGACAAGGGAGAGGCGUAUGCAGCCAUUUAGGGUGGCUACCCUCUUUCAAUUCAAUUACAAACGGCCACAGUAAUAGCUGCAAAUAGGUGAACGAUGGCAAUGGAGACGGCUACGAUGAGGGAAAACAGCAAUGGUGAAGAAAGCGACAGCAAUGGCUUAAAGUGGCGAAAGAAAGCGACAGCAAAGGUGAACGACAAUGGCAGUGAACCAGUGGUGGCUUUGACGUGG